RNAcentral lists this non-coding RNA (50 nucleotides) under uncultured archaeon. RNAcentral describes it as "Guanidine-II sequence". It matches the Rfam family "Guanidine-II riboswitch aptamer (mini-ykkC)". Rfam says of the family: Simpler in structure and has fewer highly conserved nucleotide positions than the ykkC-yxkD leader. Despite this each of its two stem-loop structures directly bind free guanidine. Therefore, mini-ykkC RNA motif represents a distinct class of guanidine-sensing RNAs. The record is from RNAcentral. RNAcentral also lists the same sequence under 1 other name.
GUUCGAGGACGACCUCGGUGCCGACGAGGACCCGUUCGGGGACGACCUCG